AACGCUAGCUACAGGCUUAACACAUGCAAGUCGAGGGGCAGCACAGUGUAGCAAUACAUGGGUGGCGACCGGCGCACGGGUGCGUAACGCGUAUCCAACCUUCCCGUUACUCUUGGAUAGCCUUCCGAAAGGGAGAUUAAUACAAGAUGGUAUUCAAAUUCCGCAUGUUAUUUGAAUUAAAGAUUUAUCGGUAACGGAUGGGGAUGCGUGACAUUAGGUAGAUGGCGGGGUAACGGCCCACCAUGCCUACGAUGUCUAGGGGUUCUGAGAGGAAGGUCCCCCACACUGGAACUGAGACACGGUCCAGACUCCUACGGGAGGCAGCAGUGAGGAAUAUUGGUCAAUGGUCGGAAGACUGAACCAGCCAAGUAGCGUGAAGGAUGAAGGUUCUAUGGAUUGUAAACUUCUUUUAUACGGGAAUAAAACCACCUACGUGUAGGUGCUUGUAUGUACCGUAUGAAUAAGCAUCGGCUAACUCCGUGCCAGCAGCCGCGGUAAUACGGAGGAUGCGAGCGUUAUCCGGAUUUAUUGGGUUUAAAGGGAGCGUAGACGGGAGAUUAAGUCAGUUGUGAAAGGCUGCGGCUCAACCGCAGCACUGCAGUUGAUACUGGUUUCCUUGAGUUCGGUUGAGGUGUAUGGAAUUCGUGGUGUAGCGGUGAAAUGCUUAGAUAUCACGAAGAACUCCGAUUG
RNAcentral lists this ribosomal RNA (690 nucleotides) under uncultured Bacteroidales bacterium. Its description in RNAcentral is "bacterial SSU rRNA". It matches the Rfam family "Bacterial small subunit ribosomal RNA", at positions 32 to 715 of the family's 1533-position model. The record is from RNAcentral. Lineage: Bacteria; Pseudomonadati; Bacteroidota; Bacteroidia; Bacteroidales.